RNAcentral lists this microRNA (22 nucleotides) under Brassica rapa (field mustard). RNAcentral describes it as "mature miR159A". The record is from RNAcentral. Lineage: Eukaryota; Viridiplantae; Streptophyta; Magnoliopsida; Brassicales; Brassicaceae.
UUUGGAUUGAAGGGAAGCUCUA